Molecule: long non-coding RNA, 1065 nt
Organism: Drosophila sechellia
Lineage: Eukaryota; Metazoa; Arthropoda; Insecta; Diptera; Drosophilidae
Exons: 3
Source: RefSeq, a predicted model, not a curated record
GGUUGCCGUACUGUUGGUGAAACGAGAAAGGCAAGUAAAAACACUUAUAAUAUAUACAAGAAUUUAUUCAUAAAUUUUAAAGGAGGAUCAAAAGUGCUGAUCGUAAAUAAUGCUAUAUAAUUUAAUAACUUAAAUGGACAAAGUGCAGUAAAAAAUUAAUUACGAACAUUGUAAUUAAAGCUGUGAAAAAUGUGGCCGCUGUAUUGUUUGGAAAAACAGUUUAAACAGCUGUUUAUUGUUUACAAGACAUUCCGAUAGCAAACAUUUUGCGAAAAUCAAAGCACUUAAAAACGAAAUCAAAAGAUUUUAUCCAAAUCGAAAUAGAACAAAAUUACGACUAGCGGAGUAUGCCUGAUAGAUAGAAAUUAACAAGACAAACAAUGAAAUAAAAGGACUCCAAAACAUUUUCGAAACUAUGGGCACGACAACAUGUUCUGCGAGAGAAAAUAGAUUUAAUAUAAAAAUAAAAACAAGAGUGAGAGUCUAGUUCCUCGACUAUCCGAUACCAUAUCUGAGUAGUGGAAAUACGAACGCGAAAUUUCAAAAUUUGUCUUAAUAUCUUAAUAUUGAUCAAUGAAAUGAGAAAAUUUAUUUUCAAAUUUUUGUUUAGAGUUUUUUGUAGGUGUAAGGACGGGCGUGUCUAAAGUGUUUAAGGUUCUAUUGAUUCUGACAAAAAAUAAAAGAACUGUUACCUGGUAAGUUCUUUUUAACUAAUAUAGUCUACGGGUAACGGUUAAAAUAGGGUAAAGAGUAGUUGAGUUGGUAUCCAGAAGGAAUGGAAGAAGGAACACCUCCGAGGGAUUUAUCGAAUUUGGCAGAAAUGAUUCUUCAGCCAGAGGAUGUUCGGAAUUAAAACAUACAAAGGUGCUUUGUUACAUCUGCCGCCGUUUUUCAACUCGUUCAAGCUGCGACGCAAAAGAAACCAAGAAACGAGAGCACCAACAGAUGAGAACAGGGUAGCAUCAAAAAGAUGCUUGCAAACGUGCAAAAUGAAAAGCGAGACCCCUUUAAACUAAAACGAACAAAGAUAGAAAUAAAAACCAGUUUUAAUGGGACUAAUGAUAA